This 497-nucleotide ribosomal RNA is filed under the name uncultured bacterium. RNAcentral's name for it is "partial 16S ribosomal RNA". It matches the Rfam family "Bacterial small subunit ribosomal RNA", at positions 28 to 507 of the family's 1533-position model. The record is from RNAcentral.
GAUGAACGCUGGCGGCGUGCCUAAUACAUGCAAGUCGAGCGAACGGACGAGAAGCUUGCUUCUCUGAUGUUAGCGGCGGACGGGUGAGUAACACGUGGAUAACCUACUUAUAAGACUGGGAUAACUUCGGGAAACCGGAGCUAAUACCGGAUAAUAUUUUGAACCGCAUGGUUCAAAAGUGAAAGACGGUCUUGCUGUCACUUAUAGAUGGAUCCGCGCUGCAUUAGCUAGUUGGUAAGGUAACGGCUUACCAAGGCAACGAUGCAUAGCCGACCUGAGAGGGUGAUCGGCCACACUGGAACUGAGACACGGUCCAGACUCCUACGGGAGGCAGCAGUAGGGAAUCUUCCGCAAUGGGCGAAAGCCUGACGGAGCAACGCCGCGUGAGUGAUGAAGGUCUUCGGAUCGUAAAACUCCGUUAUUAGGGAAGAACAUAUGUGUAAGUAACUGUGCACAUCUUGACGGUACCUAAUCAGAAAGCCACGGCUAACUACGUG